Molecule: ribosomal RNA, 484 nt
Filed under: uncultured bacterium
Lineage: Bacteria
Description: partial 16S ribosomal RNA
Rfam family: Bacterial small subunit ribosomal RNA
Source: RNAcentral
AUUGAACGCUGGCGGCAGGCCUAACACAUGCGAGUCGAGCGGAUGAAGGGAGCUUGCUCCUGGAUUCAGCGGCGGACGGGUGAGUAAUGCCUAGGAAUCUGCCUGGUAGUGGGGGAUAACGUCCGGAAACGGGCGCUAAUACCGCAUACGUCCUGAGGGAGAAAGUGGGGGAUCUUCGGACCUCACGCUAUCAGAUGAGCCUAGGUCGGAUUAGCUAGUUGGUGGGGUAAAGGCCUACCAAGGCGACGAUCCGUAACUGGUCUGAGAGGAUGAUCAGUCACACUGGAACUGAGACACGGUCCAGACUCCUACGGGAGGCAGCAGUGGGGAAUAUUGGACAAUGGGCGAAAGCCUGAUCCAGCCAUGCCGCGUGUGUGAAGAAGGUCUUCGGAUUGUAAAGCACUUUAAGUUGGGAGGAAGGGCAGUAAGUUAAUACCUUGCUGUUUUGACGUUACCAACGGAAUAAGCACCGGCUAACUUCGUG